Molecule: long non-coding RNA, 2037 nt
Filed under: Piliocolobus tephrosceles (Ugandan red Colobus)
Lineage: Eukaryota; Metazoa; Chordata; Mammalia; Primates; Cercopithecidae
Description: lncRNA (ENSPTEG00000019519.1)
Source: RNAcentral
UAUAUAUUUUUUUAAAGGAUAUCACACGAUUAAAGGAGAUAUAAAAAAUGGAAUAAGCGAAUUGGCAUAAACAUAUACAUAUAUACAUAUGUUUAUAUAUAUAUAUAUAUGUACAUAUGUAUAUAUUUAUAUGUACAUACCCACAUAUACAUAUACAUAUAUAUAUACAUGACCACAUACCAUAAUGGACGAAAGUAGUGAACUGUCCGACAUUUACAAUAAAAAUGGACAUUCAGAGAAGGAAAUAAAAGAAGAACUAAUCAGUGUAAGUCAACGAUUUUUAGAAGAUGAGGAUGAAGAAGGUGAUUAUUUUAAAGAUAUAAAAAAAUAUUUAUAUAAUGAAUCAUCUUUUGUAAAACGGAUUAAUACAUAUAAUAAUGUUUGGUUAAAAAAGCCUGCUCACUUAAGUUCUUUAAUAUUAGCAAGAAAUGGUUUUAUAUGUAUAAACGAAUCUGUUAUUAAAUGUGAAAUCUGCGGUUUUGAAUAUUCAUAUGGAAAGGGAACUUAUUCUAUGUAUACUCGAAUUACUGAUUUAUGUCUAUUACAUAGAAAUAAUUGCCCAUGGAAACAAACACUUAUUGAUUUAUCUUUUUUUAAAUUAGAUGAAAUUUCAUUAACGAGAGAAAACUUAUUAACAGAAUAUGAAAAUAAUAUUUUUUUAUUAAAAAAAGAAUUAACUAUAAUACCAUUAAUAAAUAUAAAAAAAACAAUUAGUCAUAUUAUUUUAAUUUUAAAAAAAUGUUUAAAAAAUGAUAGUACAAAAAAAAAAUUUGACAUUUUUCAAUCACAAUUAGAAUAUUUUAAAUAUCACUUUGUUAAUAUAUUUAUUGAAAAUCAAAAUGUUAUAAAUAAAGGAAUUGAAUAUAUUAAAAAAGAUUAUAAUUAUUUAUUAAAUUGUAUUGUGGAUGUGAAAUAUAUAGAAGACUUAAUGUUUGAUAUAUUAGAUGAACAAAAUUUUAUUAAUAUUUUAUCUGAUAAUAUUUAUUCUAAUUUAUGUUUUAAUACUGAUCAAGAUGAUGUAAACGUUUAUUUAAAAAUUGUUAAUAAUAUGAGGAAUUAUACAUAUCAACAUGUUAAUAUAUAUAAAACAUUAGCUUUAUUAGGAUGGGUAUACAAAACAGAACAUUCUUUUACUGAUAAAGAAAACGGUUGUAAUGGUGUACUUAUAUGUAAAUAUUGCUAUAGGGAAGUAAAUUUAUUUGAUUAUUCUUAUUUUUCCCUAAUUGAUAACAAAUGGCAUAUUUUUGUUCAAAAAAAACAGACAUCACAAAAAAAAAAAAAAACUAUUAUAAAAGAAGUUUCUAGUAAAAUGGGUGUACAGAUAAAUGGUGUAAAUGAUACAAGUGGUACAUCUUAUGAGAGUUCGAAUGAUCUUGGUCGUAACGAUCAGACAAAAGAGGAGGAAGGUCAAACGUAUGGUAAAAAGGUAGGUGAUUUUGAACGCUUGUUGGAGCUGGUUAGUGAUAGGGUUUCUAAAGCAAACAAUGAGUUAAAAGAAGUGGAUAAGGACAAAAAUAUAGAGGACGUACAAGAUGACACAGAUGAGAGAACAAAAGAGAAUGAAAAAAAAAAAUAUAGUUUUACUAUGAAAUUAAGAAAUAUAUUUUCAUCAAAAGGAAACAAUAAUAAAAUAAAAGAGGAUACUGUUUGUGACGAUAGUAAGCAUAUAAAUGGGACUGUCACUGAUGAGAAUGAUAAACAUAAUAUAGUAGAUGGUGUCAAAAAAGAUGGAGAUGUUAACACAUGUAUAAGUAGUGACAAUAGAGAUACAGGUGGUGGAAAUAACACAAGCGAAAAAAAUGAUACAAAUCGUGAUAGUAGUACAAGUUAUGAUAGUACAGGCGAUAAAAUUGACGCAGAUCGUACUAAUACAAGUUGUGAAAACACGAACAAUAGUAGCACUAGUGAUGCUACUGACAACAUGUUAAACAAUUUGUUGCUUAAAUCAUUUUUAAAAAUAUGUAAUUAUUUGGAUGAUGAAAAUUGUUUUACUGAAACUUCAAAUGGUUAUUAUAUGUUCAAAAAUUAUGACUUAGA